This 292-nucleotide unclassified non-coding RNA is filed under the name fungal sp. Its description in RNAcentral is "partial internal transcribed spacer region". The stretch from base 1 to 46 matches the Rfam family "Eukaryotic small subunit ribosomal RNA", at positions 1786 to 1831 of the family's 1831-position model. Lineage: Eukaryota; Fungi. The record is from RNAcentral.
AAGUCGUAACAAGGUCUCCGUAGGUGAACCUGCGGAGGGAUCAUCAAAGAAUUUCCUAUCUUUUACAAAAAAGUUGCUCCUCUCUCUUUCCUCUCAGUCAAUGGGUGGGAGGAGGAGGAGUGCUUUUUUGUCAAACAAACGAUCACAACUAUUGAAAGAAGAAACAGUGUAUUGGAUUGGUGUUUGCUGUGAAUUGGUUGGUUGGAAAAAAAAAGUGUUUGCCUGAUAAUAAUUUAUUGGAUUGGAAUGGAAAAAAAGAAUACAACUUUUAACAACGGAUCUCUUGGCUCUC